RNAcentral lists this ribosomal RNA (432 nucleotides) under uncultured bacterium. RNAcentral describes it as "partial 16S ribosomal RNA". It matches the Rfam family "Bacterial small subunit ribosomal RNA", at positions 29 to 506 of the family's 1533-position model. The record is from RNAcentral.
AGCGAACGCUGGCGGCAGGCCUAACACAUGCCAGUCGAACGAACUCUUCGGAGUUAGUGGCGGACGGGUGAGUAACACGUGGGAACGUGCCUUUAGGUUCGGAAUAACUCAGGGAAACUUGUGCUAAUACCGAAUGUGCCCUUCGGGGGAAAGAUUUAUCGCCUUUAGAGCGGCCCGCGUCUGAUUAGCUAGUUGGUGAGGUAAAGGCUCACCAAGGCGACGAUCAGUAGCUGGUCUGAGAGGAUGAUCAGCCACAUUGGGACUGAGACACGGCCCAAACUCCUACGGGAGGCAGCAGUGGGGAAUCUUGCGCAAUGGGCGAAAGCCUGACGCAGCCAUGCCGCGUGAAUGAUGAAGGUCUUAGGAUUGUAAAAUUCUUUCACCGGGGACGAUAAGGACGGUACCCGGAGAAGAAGCCCCGGCUAACUUAGU